This is a long non-coding RNA of Plodia interpunctella (Indianmeal moth), 486 nucleotides long. RefSeq lists it as uncharacterized. The transcript is spliced from 3 exons. NCBI's taxonomy places the organism in Eukaryota, Metazoa, Arthropoda, Insecta, Lepidoptera, Pyralidae. The record is from RefSeq and is a predicted model, not a curated record.
UUCUACUCUUGAGUCAACCAUUCCUAACGUAAUGCUUGUUCGAUGCGAGUCGUUUGUGAUUCUCUGGAAUUAAAUUAAUAUUUCUAGAAGUUGCUACAUUAGUGCAUACCUAAUUAAUAUUGAAAUUUCCUAUUUUUUUAUUUUUUUGCGCAGCAAGAUUGUCUAUUCGUCGUGCAAUUGAUUUGAUCAAUGAAUGGGAAUGUUAAAAAUACCAUUACGAUUGAAAAUAUCAACACGAAUGUGCUGUGGCUGUGGCUGUGGCAGCUCGCAGGCCAAUGUUUCACUAGUAUCGUCGGUCUUCCGACACUGACACACGAAAAACGACACAGAACACAGCACGGUAAAAGAUAUAGACCUACCAGCAGCGUUUAUUAGCAAGGAGCGCCGUCGCCGCCGCCUCCUGGGCGCGGGCGGCGGCGACGGCUGCGGGAGCUCCUCCUCGGAGCUGGAGCGCUGGGACUCCCGCUCGGGCUCCGUCACAGGGAG